UGGGGAAUUUUUGGACAAUGGGCGAAAGCCUGAUCCAGCAAUGCCGCGUGUGUGAAGAAGGCCUUCGGGUUGUAAAGCACUUUUGUCCGGAAAGAAACCCUUGGCUCUAAUACAGUCGGGGGAUGACGGUACCGGAAGAAUAAGCACCGGCUAACUACGUGCCAGCAGCCGCGGUAAUACGUAGGGUGCAAGCGUUAAUCGGAAUUACUGGGCGUAAAGCGUGCGCAGGCGGUUUGCUAAGACCGAUGUGAAAUCCCCGGGCUCAACCUGGGAACUGCAUUGGUGACUGGCAGGCUAGAGUAUGGCAGAGGGGGGUAGAAUUCCACGUGUAGCAGUGAAAUGCGUAGAGAUGUGGAGGAAUACCGAUGGCGAAGGCAGCCCCCUGGGCCAAGUACUGACGCUCAUGCACGAAAGCGUGGGGAGCAAACAGGAUUAGAUACCCUGGUAGUCCACGCCCUAAACGAUGUCAACUAGUUGUUGGGGAUUCAUUUCCUUAGUAACGUAGCUAACGCGUGAAGUUGACCGCCUGGGGAGUACGUCGCAAGAUUAAAACUCAAAGAAUUGACGGGGUC
RNAcentral lists this ribosomal RNA (572 nucleotides) under uncultured bacterium. RNAcentral describes it as "partial 16S ribosomal RNA". It matches the Rfam family "Bacterial small subunit ribosomal RNA", at positions 355 to 920 of the family's 1533-position model. The record is from RNAcentral.